ACGUAACAAAAGCUUCAUUUUUUUUUAGCUCAAUCAAUUGAUUACAAGCGAAAUGGAGCAAUAAAAACUUCCAGCUCAUGUCUGAUGGAUAGAACUGCAAAAAAUAGUAGUAUAACUUACAAAGAAAUAUAACAACAAGCACACUACACUAAUACAAAUCACCAAAAAAGCAAUAGAUUACCAAUAAGCUUUAAAAAAGUGAUUCCUGAACAGUCCAGCGUUUGCAAAUGAAUUAGCCAUACAAUUUUCUGACUAUUUGUGACCACAAACUUUAUCUCCACCAUUCUUCUAACAAAAGCUUCAUUUUAUAUUUUAUACAUUUUAAUUUUAUUAUGCACAUUGUAUUACCUAAAUCAAUUGUAUAUCUUAAUAAUAUUAUUGAUUGAGUUGGUCUCACAAGUUAACUCGACAUAUAUCAACUCAAGAUUGAUGACAACAUCCUGAUAAUCAACUAUAGUACAUUUAAUAUUCUUAAUCUAAUAUAUUUACGUGUCUAAAUUGUAAGUAUUAAAUUUUUGUCCGACUAGAAUUCGUGUUUAAGUUCCAAAAUUUUAAAAAAAUAAAAUAAAAAAUAAAAAAAUUUCAAAAAAAAUACAUCUUAGACCCCUAAACUUUCCUUAAAUUACAUUUAGCCCCAGAGGUUUUGCUGCAUUUGUGAUUUGGUCCUUCAGACAGAUUGCGUGAUUUGGGGCACCCACUUCCCAAAUUUUCAGGCCAAAAACAUGGGUGGUUGUUCCUUCUUCACCCACUACCUGCAAAUGGCAUAAAAAACAAGCAAAAUGGUAGAAAUGAAAAAGGAACACACAAAAAAAAAGAGAGGAUUCUCCCAUUUGAAAAAAAAAGAGCAAAAAAAUUCCAGCAAAAAAAACCCCAAAAAAAAACAUUAGCAAUCAAGAGAAAAACACAGAAAGGUGGAUCUUCGAUUUCAUUUUAUUUGUUUUCAUUUCGUUUUAACUUCUUCUUAGUUUCCUUUCAAAUUUACUGCAAAUCAAUAAACAAAAAGGGGGUUGUAUUACACAGAUUAUUAAUAAAAAAGAGAACAAAAAAAGGUUGUUUUCAUAUUUUCUUUCCUUGAUUUUUUUUUCUUUCUUUAGAUUUUUUUAUUUUAUUUUCUGUGUUAAAUCUUUUAAAAAAAUAAAAAUAAAAAACAAAAGAGGGACUGAAAACUUACCUAUUCUUCGCGUCCCGCCCCCAUUGGAGAUUCCCCGAUCCAAAAGGGCCACGAAACCCCUCAGGUUUCUCGUUUAGGCCAUGGAAAAGAAGAGGGGGACGAGUACUCGGAGGGCGAAAUAGGAGCUUUCUCACUUGACCUUGGUGAGAGAGAGGUUUGUUUCAGAGAAAUGAAAAUGAAAAGGGGGAAGGAAAAAGUUUUUGGUUUUUUUUUCUCUUGAAAAAAAGGACCAGCAGAAUAGAAAAGUAGGAAACUUUUUUAAAAUCAUUUGAAAAGGUAUCGUGAGUGUAGUGGGGGGGGGGUUGUGAAUUCUCCCUAAAAGGGAUAUUUGUGCGUUUAGUCCUUUCAAUUCGCAACUCCAUU
RNAcentral lists this long non-coding RNA (1534 nucleotides) under Gossypium barbadense (sea-island cotton). RNAcentral's name for it is "long non-coding RNA (GBAR_LNC007793)". Lineage: Eukaryota; Viridiplantae; Streptophyta; Magnoliopsida; Malvales; Malvaceae. The record is from RNAcentral.